GACGAACGCUGGCGGCGUGCUUAACACAUGCAAGUCGAACGGAAAGGCCCUGCUUUUGUGGGGUGCUCGAGUGGCGAAAGGGUGAGUAACACGUGAGUAACCUGCCCUUGACUUUGGUAUAACUUCAGGAAACUGGGGCUAAUACCGGAUAGGAGCUCCUGCUGAAUGGUGGGGGUUGGAUAGUUUCGGCGGGUGGGGAUGGACUCGCGGCUUAUCACUUUGUUGGUGGGGUAGUGGCUGACGAAGGCUUUGACGGGUAGCCGGCCUGGGAGGGGGACCGGCGACAUGAGGACUGAGAGACGGACCAGACGCGUACGGGAGGCAGCAGUGGGGAAUAUUGCACAAUGGGCGGGAGCCUGAUGAAGCAACGCCGGGUGCGGGAUGACGGCCUUCGGGUUGUGAACCGCUUUCGCCUGUGACGAAGAGGGAGUGACGGUAAUGGAUAAAGAAGCACCGGCUAACUACGUG
This 468-nucleotide ribosomal RNA is filed under the name uncultured bacterium. RNAcentral describes it as "partial 16S ribosomal RNA". It matches the Rfam family "Bacterial small subunit ribosomal RNA", at positions 28 to 507 of the family's 1533-position model. The record is from RNAcentral.